This 273-nucleotide long non-coding RNA is filed under the name Bos taurus (domestic cattle). Its description in RNAcentral is "long non-coding RNA NONBTAT000875". The record is from RNAcentral. Lineage: Eukaryota; Metazoa; Chordata; Mammalia; Artiodactyla; Bovidae.
AAUGCAGAAAUUUUAAGAAUUAAGAUAGUUAGAUCAGUGUUGUUUUCCUUUAUGGACUUCUGGCCUUUGAUGUUAUGCUAAGAAAAAGCUGCCUGCUAUCUAAGAGUAUAGAAUAUCCUUCCAGGUUUUCUUACGUCAUUCUUAGUUGUUGGUUUGGGGGGACUAUUGCUUAUAAUUCAUAGGCAGUUUAUCUUGACUUGUACGUUGAGCUAGGGAUCCAGUGUUAUUUUUUUCCCACUGCAUCACUCAGUUUGAAAUGUCAGCUUUGUUGUA